This 58-nucleotide transfer RNA is filed under the name Rhizobium sp. Leaf321. RNAcentral describes it as "tRNA-Ser". It matches the Rfam family "tRNA", at positions 18 to 71 of the family's 71-position model. Rfam says of the family: Transfer RNA (tRNA) molecules are approximately 80 nucleotides in length. Lineage: Bacteria; Pseudomonadati; Pseudomonadota; Alphaproteobacteria; Hyphomicrobiales; Rhizobiaceae. The record is from RNAcentral.
GUUAGGACGUCAGAUUUUCAUUCUGAAAAGAGGGGUUCGACUCCCCUAGGGCGUACCA